GGUUAUGGCUCAGUGGUAGAGCACUUGCCUGGUAUGCAUGAGGCCCUGGAUUUGAUUCAAUCCCUGGUGCUG
RNAcentral lists this transfer RNA (72 nucleotides) under Marmota monax (woodchuck). RNAcentral describes it as "tRNA.Thr". Lineage: Eukaryota; Metazoa; Chordata; Mammalia; Rodentia; Sciuridae. The record is from RNAcentral.